Molecule: ribosomal RNA, 274 nt
Filed under: uncultured bacterium
Lineage: Bacteria
Description: partial 16S ribosomal RNA
Rfam family: Bacterial small subunit ribosomal RNA
Source: RNAcentral
AUACAGAGGUGGCAAGCGUUGUUCGGAUUUACUGGGCGUAAAGGGUGUGUAGGCGGCUUGGUUAGUGAGGUGUGAAAUCCCGGAGCUUAACUUCGGAACUGCACUUCAUACUGCCGAGCUCGAGUCUCUGAGAGGCAAGGGGAAUUCCCGGUGUAGCGGUGAAAUGCAUAGAUAUGUUAUAGAACACCAAUUGCGAAGGCAGAUCACUAAACCAUUACUGACGCUGAGGUACGAAAGCGUGGGGAGCGAACAGGAUUAGAAACCCCAGUAGUCC